CGUAGGGUGCGAGCGUUGUCCGGAAUUAUUGGGCGUAAAGAGCUUGUAGGCGGUCUGUCGCGUCUGCUGUGAAAAUCCGGGGCUCAACCCCGGACUUGCAGUGGGUACGGGCAGACUAGAGUGUGGUAGGGGAGACUGGAAUUCCUGGUGUAGCGGUGAAAUGCGCAGAUAUCAGGAGGAACACCGAUGGCGAAGGCAGGUCUCUGGGCCACUACUGACGCUGAGAAGCGAAAGCAUGGGGAGCGAACAGG
RNAcentral lists this ribosomal RNA (251 nucleotides) under uncultured bacterium. RNAcentral describes it as "partial 16S ribosomal RNA". It matches the Rfam family "Bacterial small subunit ribosomal RNA", at positions 526 to 776 of the family's 1533-position model. The record is from RNAcentral.